Molecule: ribosomal RNA, 1490 nt
Filed under: uncultured rumen bacterium
Lineage: Bacteria
Description: bacterial SSU rRNA
Rfam family: Bacterial small subunit ribosomal RNA
Source: RNAcentral
AGAGUUUGAUCAUGGCUCAGGAUGAACGCUGGCGGCGUGCCUAACACAUGCAAGUCGAGCGGAGAUACUUGAUAAGCUUGCUUAAUGAGUAUCUUAGCGGCGGAUGGGUGAGGAACGCGUGGAGAACCUGCUCUUCACAGGGGGAUAACAGCUGGAAACGGCUGUUAAUACCGCAUAUGCUCACAGCGCCGCAUGGCGCAGGGAGGAAAGCGCACAGUGGUGAAGGAUGGCUCCGCGUCGGAUUAGCCAGUUGGCGGGGUAACGGCCCACCAAAGCGAUGAUCCGUAGCCGGCCUGAGAGGGCGACCGGCCACAUUGGGACUGAGACACGGCCUAAACUCCUACGGGAGGCAGCAGUGGGGGAUAUUGCACAAUGGGCGAAAGCCUGAUGCAGCGACGUCGCGUGAAGGAAGACGUACCUCGGUAUGUAAACUUCUAUCAGCAGGGAAGAAGAUGACGGUACCUGACUAAGAGGCCGCGGGCUAACUACGUGCCAGCAGCCGCGGUAAUACGUAGGGGGCAAGCGUUAUCUCGGAUUUACUGGGUGUAAAGGGAGCGUACACGGCGAUGCAAGUCUCGAUGUGAAAACUCGAGGCUCAACCGCGGGAUUGCAUUGUAACUGUAUUGGCUUGAGUGCUGGAGGGGCAAGCGGAAUUCCUGGUGUAGCGGUGAAAUGCGUANAUAUCAGGAGGANCANCGGUGGCGAAGGCGGCUUGCUGGACAGUAACUGACGUUGAGGCUCGAAAGCGUGGGGAGCAAACAGGAUUANNNNNCNNNNNNNNNCACGCCGUAAACGAUGAAUACUAGGUGUGGGAGGGCAUUGCNCNUCGGUGCCGCAGCAAACGCAAUAAGUAUUCCACCUGGGGAGUACGUUCGCAAGAAUGAAACUCAAAGGAAUUGACGGGGACCCGCACAAGCGGUGGAGCAUGUGGUUUAAUUCGAAGCAACGCGAAGAACCUUACCAAGUCUUGACAUCCUUCUGACCGUUCCUUAAUCGGAACUUCUCUUCGGAGCAGAAGUGACAGGUGGUGCAUGGUUGUCGUCAGCUCGUGUCGUGAGAUGUUGGGUUAAGUCCCGCAACGAGCGCAACCCUUAUUUUCAGUAGCCAGCAGUUCGGCUGGGCACUCUGGAGAGACUGCCGGGGAUAACCCGGAGGAAGGUGGGGAUGACGUCAAAUCAUCAUGCCCCUUAUGACUUGGGCUACACACGUGCUACAAUGGUGAUAACAAAGGGAAGCAGUCCUGUGAAGGUGAGCAAAUCCCAAAAAUGUCAUCUCAGUUCGGAUUGUAGUCUGCAACUCGACUACAUGAAGCUGGAAUCGCUAGUAAUCGCGAAUCAGAAUGUCGCGGUGAAUACGUUCCCGGGUCUUGUACACACCGCCCGUCACACCAUGGGAGUUGGAUAUGCCCGAAGUCAGUGACCCAACCGUAAGGAGGGAGCUGCCGAAGGUGGAGCCGAUAACUGGGGUGAAGUCGUAACAAGGUAGCCGUA